Molecule: long non-coding RNA, 1053 nt
Organism: Ictalurus punctatus (channel catfish)
Lineage: Eukaryota; Metazoa; Chordata; Actinopteri; Siluriformes; Ictaluridae
Source: Ensembl
AUGACAGAAACGUUGUGAGAGCUGUGAAGAAAAACCUCAAAAGCAACGGUCAGUGACAUCAUCAACCUCCUCCACAGGGCAUGGUGAGGAUAUCUCAAUCCACCGUCCUGAAGGAGACACCACAAGAUACAGACCGCUCAUCAGCAGUAAGAAUCAGAAAUCCAGAUUAGCAUUCAAUAAAAAAAUACAGAGGAGAUCCACAAAAAUUCUGGAACCAAGAUGAACCUCCACCAGAGUGAUGGAAAGACCAAAGUGUGGAGAAAGAAAGAAUCUGCUCAUGAUCCAACACAUACAAGCUCAUCUGUCUUCCAAUUUACAAAGAAAUGCAUCCAAAUGGAUCAGGAGGAACUUUAUCAUGCAGCAAGACAACCAUCCAAAACACUCUGCCAACAAGACACAGGACUUCAUCAGGGGAAAAGUGGUUUUGACUGGCCAAGUCAAUCACCAGACCUUCACCUCACCCCCGGAAGAGGAGACUGAAGGGAGAAACCCCCCGAAACUGAAAGAGGCUGUGGUUAAAACCUGGAGAAGCUUCACAGAAGAAGAAAUCAGCAGUUUGGUGAAUGCGGUGCGUCGCAGGAUCGACGCAGUCACUGCAGGCCUGUGUUAGAGCGCCGUGCCUAAAAGAGUUCUCCCUGACGGACGCUACUUCAUUCCUACGAUUGAAAAGCAAUGAAAGAGACGUUCAUCACAAGCGGAACAGCGAUGGGAACCGCCCAAACGUGACGUCUCUUUCCAUCUGUUAGCUGACAGGAUCGCCGUCCUAGCGAGCGCUUCUCUUGCCCUGGUGAGAAAAUACUGUUCUGUACUGCAGUGAGAGCUGACAGACACGCCAACGGCUUCGGGGGGAAAAGCAAACAGCAACAAAAAACAAACAGGACUAAGUGGACGCGCGCACGCGGAGCUCUGAAAGAGCAUCUACGAUGCAAACGGGGCAAAGGGAGGAGGAGGAGGAGUACCAAACCGGAGAGGAUAUCGAUUUUUCAUCUCAUCCUACACUAACGGAGUAGUGUGUGUGCGCGCGCGGUGUGUGUGUGUGUGUGUGUGUGGAUA